AAAAGUCGUAACAAGGUUUCCGUAGGUGAACCUGCGGAAGGAUCAUUAUUGAAAUAAACCUGAUGAGUUGCUGCUGGCUCUCUAGGGAGCAUGUGCACACUUGUCAUCUUUAUAUCUCCACCUGUGCACCUUUUGUAGACCUGGAUAUCUCUCUGAGUGCUUAGCACUUCAGGUUUGAGGAUUGACUUUAUUGUUCUCUCUUUAUAUUUCCAGGCCUAUGUUUCUUCAUAUACCCCAUUGUAUGUUAUAGAAUGUAGUAAAUAGGCCUUUGUGCCUAUAAACCUAUACAACUUUCAGCAACGGAUCUCUUGGCUCUCGCAUCGAUGAAGAACGCAGCGAAAUGCGUUAAGUAAUGUGAAUUGCAGAAUUCAGUGAAUCAUCGAAUCUUUGAACGCACCUUGCGCUCCUUGGUAUUCCGAGGAGCAUGCCUGUUUGAGUGUCAUUAAUAUAUCAACCUCUUCAACUUUGUUGAGUGUUGGAUGUGGGGGUUUUUUUUUGCUGGCCUCUCUCUCUGAGUUCAGCUCCCCUGAAAUACAUUAGCGGAACAAUUUGUUCAUUUGGCGUGAUAAUUAUCUAUGCUAUUGACAUGAAGCAGUUCAGCUUAUAACUGUCCAUUGACUUGGACAAUUUUAUUAUUAAUGUGACCUCAAAUCAGGUAGGACUACCCGCUGAACUUAAGCAUAUCAAUAAGCGGAGGAAAAGAAACUAACAAGGAUUCCC
Molecule: ribosomal RNA, 720 nt
Filed under: Thaxterogaster porphyropus
Lineage: Eukaryota; Fungi; Basidiomycota; Agaricomycetes; Agaricales; Cortinariaceae
Description: eukaryotic LSU rRNA
Rfam family: 5.8S ribosomal RNA (bases 289-442)
Source: RNAcentral